This 388-nucleotide ribosomal RNA is filed under the name Chytridiomycetes sp. RNAcentral's name for it is "partial small subunit ribosomal RNA". It matches the Rfam family "Eukaryotic small subunit ribosomal RNA", at positions 582 to 975 of the family's 1831-position model. Lineage: Eukaryota; Fungi; Chytridiomycota; Chytridiomycetes. The record is from RNAcentral.
AUUCCAGCUCCAAUAGCGUAUAUUAAAGUUGUUGCAGUUAAAAAGCUCGUAGUUGAAUUUUGGACCUGGUUGAAUGGUCCCGCCGCAAGGUGGGUACUGUUUGAUUGGGUCUUUCUUUGCGGGGAAUUAGUGUGCUCUUAAUUGGGCGCAUUAAGGAUCCGUAACUUUUACUUUGAAAAAAUUAGAGUGUUUAAAGCAGGCUUAGGCCUGAAUACAUUAGCAUGGAAUAAUAGAAUAGGACCUGUGUUCUAUUUUGUUGGUUUCUAGGACGUAGGUAAUGAUUAAUAGGGACAGUUGGGGGCAUUAGUAUUUAAGUGUCAGAGGUGAAAUUCUUGGAUUGCUUAAAGACUAACUUCUGCGAAAGCAUUUGCCAAGGAUGUUUUCAUUA